This 1293-nucleotide long non-coding RNA is filed under the name Olea europaea subsp. europaea. Lineage: Eukaryota; Viridiplantae; Streptophyta; Magnoliopsida; Lamiales; Oleaceae. The record is from RNAcentral.
GUGGUUGGGAUGAUGUUAGAGCAUGCCUAACUCUAAGCGAUUGCUCUUAGCUCUCCAAGUCUUGACUGAACAACACGAUAUCUCAUUUAGCAUGACAGAACUACUACAUGGUUACUUCAUAAGGGAACACGAUGGUGCGAAAGGUCGAUUUUCCUUAAAUACAAAGAAAAAUAUCGAUAGAUUGGUAGUUGAUCUUGCUUCUAGAGAUAAAGACUGGAAAGGAUCUUACUUUCUCUCGUCAGGCAAUUUGGUUCGGUCGGAGAAUUAUAGUUUCCCUUCAACGUGGUCACACGAUGAGUUUUGUAGAUCGCUUACUUUUAAUGUACUUUACUGAUUCGAGAUUCUUAUUUCAUUUUCUUAUAGGUCUUCACAUCAACACCCAACUUUCAAAGGCUUGUUUGUAAAAGAGCACAUUUCUAAGAUCUUUGCGAUACCCAAGGAUCUAAGAGAUUUGCCAGUUCCUUUUGUAUUCAGAGGUCCUUUCUUCCAGUAGCUCAUAGGAACAUACUUCAGCAUAAUCAAGAAAUAUUCCUUCUAAUUUUUCAAGACAUAAGAUCCCUAUUAUAAUGGCAAAGAGAGGUAUGAAAAUUCUUGGUAGUAACCUUCCUUUGAGCGAUCCGCUUUACUCGACUUAUCGUGAGAUUGCAGAUUGAAUUAUGUAAAGAGUGAUGAGAUCUUCGCUUGACGCUUUGGAUAUGAGAAAGGCAAAAGAAAAGUCUAAGAAAAUUUAUCCUUAUACGAUGCUAGCUGACACUCUAAUCCCGUCCGAUAUUUUUCGAGCCAGACCGAGCUGAAUGAUGCUCCCUUCUCGUUGAUUUGAAAGUGCGGUCAUUCGGGGCCAUUGUUGAUUGAUGAUGAUUAGAUCGUACUUACAUUUCCUUCGUUUGGAUUGGUUUGAUGGUGAUGGUAGAGCUACCCUUAUAUGGGAUUCCAAAUAAUUUUUGACAUUUGUAUCAGAUCUUCUCCCUUAGGUUAAGGUUUUCCACAUCCCUACAGAUGAGGAACGUUUCAAUUCUUUGAUGAGUAAUACGUUUUUCCCACUUGGUGAAUCUCCUAAGAGCAAAGACAUGUUAGGGUCUCCGAUGUAAUUUGCUCAUAGCGUGUCUAAUCUUCAAAAAAUAAAAGACCUUCGUGAAGUGCCACCAUCCCCUAAUUAGAGAAUGCAGAUGAAUCGGAAGGAAUGGUAAGCACGAUCGAAUCAUCAUUGCCAACAAUGGCCCCAAAUGAUCGCGUUUUCGGAUUAACAAGAGGGAAAAUUAGGCAGCUCGAUCUGGCUCUAAAAAAUCAUCAGAU